CGUUUAUUCGUUUGUGUCAUUCAGACUUAUUUCCGAGUCAAAACUGAAUUGAAGGUCAUCGGACAUAUGUCCGACCCAAACUCAACGUCACCGGACAUUUUGUCAGACGGCCCUGUAAAAGAUAUUUUAAGGCCUGCUACGGACUCAUGUGAAAGUAGUCAGUCAACGCUCUGUCGAGAGUCGUGGGUUUUCUCUAAGUGUUCCG
Non-coding RNA from Paramuricea clavata, 205 nucleotides. The record is from the annotation of a GenBank genome assembly. NCBI's taxonomy places the organism in Eukaryota, Metazoa, Cnidaria, Anthozoa, Malacalcyonacea, Plexauridae.